RNAcentral lists this long non-coding RNA (315 nucleotides) under Theobroma cacao (cacao). RNAcentral describes it as "long non-coding RNA (TCAC_LNC002235)". The record is from RNAcentral. Lineage: Eukaryota; Viridiplantae; Streptophyta; Magnoliopsida; Malvales; Malvaceae.
GCUCCAUACCUGCUGUAUAUUCUAAUAAGAUCAUCUUUGGUAGGCAAUGAGGAUCCGGGGCCAAAUGUCACAAAGAGAGCAGUAGGUAAAGAAUUUUCAACUUCAUUAUCAUUUUUCUUCAUAACUGCAGCCCUGGCAGCUUGCUUGAUUUCAGGGUUGUAUGCCUUCAGUUCUUCACUUGUUUUCUUCGGUGAAGACCUGGUAGCCUGCCCAGCUUCAGAUUGCGCCAUCUUCGACUCUUCAUUCUUUCCAACCUUUUUCUUCAGGGAUGUCCGUCCAGAGGGAGCAUAAUCAGUCAAAUUUUGGUCCUUUCCU